UACGUAGGGGGCGAGCGUUGUCCGGAUUCAUUGGGCGUAAAGCGCGCGUAGGCGGCUUUGCAAGUCGGCCGUGAAAUCUCCGGGCUCAACUCGGAGGGGUCGGGCGAGACUGCGAGGCUCGAGGUGGGCAGAGGGCAGUGGAAUUCCGGGUGUAGUGGUGGAAUGCGUAGAGAUCCGGAGGAACACCAGUGGCGAAGGCGGCUGCCUGGGCCGGUACUGACGCUGAGGUGCGAAAGCGUGGGGAGCAAACAGG
This 253-nucleotide ribosomal RNA is filed under the name uncultured bacterium. Its description in RNAcentral is "partial 16S ribosomal RNA". It matches the Rfam family "Bacterial small subunit ribosomal RNA", at positions 524 to 776 of the family's 1533-position model. The record is from RNAcentral.